RNAcentral lists this ribosomal RNA (497 nucleotides) under uncultured bacterium. RNAcentral's name for it is "partial 16S ribosomal RNA". It matches the Rfam family "Bacterial small subunit ribosomal RNA", at positions 28 to 507 of the family's 1533-position model. The record is from RNAcentral.
GAUGAACGCUGGCGGCGUGCCUAAUACAUGCAAGUCGAGCGAACGGACGAGAAGCUUGCUUCUCUGAUGUUAGCGGCGGACGGGUGAGUAACACGUGGAUAACCUACCUAUAAGACUGGGAUAACUCCGGGAAACCGUAGCUAAUACCGGAUAAUAUUUUGAACCGCAUGGUUCAAAAGUGAAAGACGGUCUUGCUGUCACUUAUAGAUGGAUCCGCGCUGCAUUAGCUAGUUGGUAAGGUAACGGCUUACCAAGGCAACGAUGCAUAGCCGACCUGAGAGGGUGAUCGGCCACACUGGAACUGAGACACGGUCCAGACUCCUACGGGAGGCAGCAGUAGGGAAUCUUCCGCAAUGGGCGAAAGCCUGACGGAGCAACGCCGCGUGAGUGAUGAAGGUCUUCGGAUCGUAAAACUCUGUUAUUAGGGAAGAACAUAUGUGUAAGUAACUGUGCACAUCUUGACGGUACCUAAUCAGAAAGCCACGGCUAACUACGUG